GCCCCAACCCCAACAAGAGACUCACAUUCGGUGUUCACGUUUGGCAAAUUCACUUCUCACUUUCAGUUUAUUUUUACAAAGCCCUAACCCUAGAUUUAUACAAAUUCAAUCCAAUGGGCAGCGAACAAGACACCCAACGCAUGCACCGUCGAUCCAGCUCUUAUGAUGAAGCGGAGAAGUCCUCUAAACGACAUAAACAUCGUCACCACCACCACCGUCACCGUCACCGUCACCAUCGAAGCAGGAAGCACGAAGACGAUACCAAUCACGGAGGUGAUGAUAUACCUCCUUCCGUUCCGGUCAUUAAUAUUUCUCGAAUUGAUGAUGACGUGGAGGAAGGAGAGAUUCUUGAAGAGGACAAUUUUGAAAUCAGGAAAUUGGAUUCUUCUGAAAUUAAGGCUCUUGAUGGAGUUGACUCUCGAAUUCCGGGAGUUGGUGAAUUUAAUCAUGUGAAAGAGACUCCCAAGAAUAAGAUUGAUGAUGAUCUGGUUGCUAAAUCUGAAAUUAGUAAAAAUGAUCAUCAUGUCAGUGGGGAUUUUUCUCAUGAUUAUAGAAAAGGUAAUGAUCGACGGCUGAUGGAAUCUGUGUCUCCUUCAAAUAAAAACAGAAAGCAGAAGAAAUAUCUUGACACUGAUGGAAUGGAGGAUGAUGUUAGCAAAUUACAGGAGAAGAGAAAAUCAUUGUCCUCUGAAAGCUCAGGGGACAGGCAUAAGACAGUGGUGCUCUCACCAUCAUGUGAUAGAUCUAAUAAUGAUUUCCAUGCUAGGAGGAGUAGGUCAAGGUCACGUGAUCUUGCUUUGGAAAGAUCUCAUUCCCAAAGCAUAAUGGAAGAAGAAGCUGUCGCUAAAAGAAGGCGUAAUCAUGAACAGGAUCUGAACGCCUCUGCAGAUGAUAGGGUUAUUCAACGCUGUAGGAAUGAGAUAAAUGGUAGUGAGGAUUUAGCGAGGGAUGAGGAAAGGGAGCACAGUAUUAGUUACAGCUGCAGAUACAUUGGCAGAGAGGAUAGCCAUCACAGUCGGGAGAUACGAAAUAGAGAGAGGAGUUGGGAGAGGGAGAUGGUAAAGGAUCAGAGAAGGGAGAAGGAACGAGAAAGAAGAGGGCAUAUGGAGAUAAACAGGGAACAGAGAAGAGACAAAGAACGAGAGAGUGGGGACAGGGAAAUAUACAGCAAAAGGGAGGAACGAGGUAGGGGCAGGUAUGAGGAGGUUGAACUGGGUAGGAAACGAGAGAAGGAAAGAGAUAGGAGCAGAGAUAGAGCCAGGGUCAGUGAUCAAGACAUAGAUAGACGUAGGGAAAGGGGGAGAGAUAAGGACAAGGCCAGAGUUAGAGAGCAUAACUUGGAGAGGGAGAGACAUAGUGAUAGAGGUCGAGAUAAAGCUGCUGAUAUUGAGAGAGAUAGGGAGAAGUAUGGAAGUCUUGAUGAUAGUUAUGGAAAUCAAGAUAGGUUUAAACAUUCCAGGCGCUUGACUCAAGGUGAUGAUAAAGGACGUUCUCAUGAUAGAACUAGAAAGGAUGAUCCAGCCAAGAUUCAUAGUUCUAACAGUCAUUCUUGGGAAGGAGGUGGUGAUGGAAACACAAGAGAUGAAGAUGAUGGAGAUGAUUUUGAGGAAAGGUUUGCCUUGAAGCUUGUUGAACAAGAAGAAGAUCUUGACAGAAUUAAGGAGGAGAGUAGAAAGCGAAGACAGGCCAUCGUAGAAAAAUACAAGAAUCAGCAGUUACAGCUGCAUAGUGAGUCUGAUUCGGCUGAUGUUGAAAAAGAUAAAAAGUCUUUUCAGCAUCCUGGUCUAUUGACUGGUGUUGAUAAUGAUUUUUCGGAUAAUCAUAAUGGUAAAAGUAAUGGAAUUGAUGGCUAUGUUGAUGAGCAGUUAUUCUCUGUUAUGAAGUCACCUCUACAUAAUGGAACUGCUGCUUCUGAUGGGACUUCUGGUCCUGGGGGGCUUGGAGAUGGUACUCCGAAGAGUGAAACAUCAGACCUUGUGUUCUGUGAUGAUAUGUUUGGAGAGACUCCUGCUAGAGUUCGAAAAUCGGUUAAAACUGAAGGUUCAAAAAUUGUAAGGAGUGGCUUGCAUGACAACUGGGAUGAUGCAGAAGGGUACUAUAGCUAUCAAUUUGGUGAAUUACUUGAUGGACGAUAUGAAGUCACUGCUACUCAUGGGAAAGGUGUUUUCUCCACUGUAGUACGUGCAAAGGAUCUUAAAGCUGGUAGUGGUGAACCUGAAGAAGUGGCCAUAAAAAUUAUACGCAAUAAUGAAACAAUGAACAAGGCUGGUCAGACAGAGGUUCAGAUAUUAAAGAAAUUGGCAGGUGCAGAUCCAGAGAAUAAGCGUCACUGCAUCCGCUUUAUUUCGAAUUUUAAGUACAGGAAUCAUCUUUGUUUAGUUUUUGACUCUCUUCAUAUGAAUCUGCGUGAGGUUUUAAAGAAGUUUGGCCGCAAUAUUGGCCUUAAACUUACUGCCGUAAGAGCAUAUGGGAAACAACUCUUUAUUGCCUUAAAGCAUCUAAAAAACUGUGGCAUUCUUCAUUGUGAUAUAAAGCCAGAUAACAUGCUGGUAAAUGAGGCAAAGAAUGUGUUGAAGCUUUGUGAUUUUGGUAAUGCCAUGUUCGCUGGUAAAAAUGAAAUUACACCUUACCUUGUCAGCCGAUUUUAUCGUGCCCCUGAGAUAAUUCUUGGUUUGCCUUAUGAUCAUCCGCUGGAUGUCUGGUCUGUUGGGUGCUGUUUGUAUGAGCUUUAUACUGGAAAAGUUCUUUUCCCGGGUGCCACAAACAAUGACAUGCUACGCCUUCAUAUGGAGUUGAAGGGUCCGUUUCCUAAAAAGAUGCUACGUAAGGGAGCAUUUACAGAGCAGCACUUUGAUCAGGAUUUGAAUUUUCAUGCUACUGAAGAGGAUCCUGUUACUAAGAAGACUAUAAAGAGGAUAAUUUUUAAUAUAAAGCCAAAAGAUAUUGGAUCAAUUGUUACAACCUCUCCUGGUGAAGACCCCAAGAUGUUAAACAAUUUCAAAGAUCUUCUGGAAAAGAUUUUUGUGUUGGAUCCAGAGAGAAGGAUGACAGUAGCACAGGCUUUGGCUCAUCCAUUCAUCUCGGGCAAGUGAACAAUGUUGCUGAUUUUAUGACUCCAGAAAUGCUGUUGAGCUAGAUAUUUGUAUAUUAUGACCUAAUUCAUAUUUAGAUAUCUAAUCAUUGGGCAUUAUUUGUCUUUAUCUUCUCUGUGUUGGCAUAUAAGCUUUGAACACAGUGUCGCGUGGUUGAAGUCAAAGGGGGGUGAUGUUGGUCAGGAGUACUCUUUUCUGGCGGUUCUUUCAGUGGAAUGUACUGUUUCUAUUGAUAUCUGCCACUGCUUUGAGGCAAUCCUCCAGUGCUUAGAUGCUUAAAAGGCACCCAGGAAAGGAACUUGCACUGGAGAUGUUUGGCUGCAGCUUGAUGUGAAGGAAUAGUUCAGUGCAGCCUUUGCGUCUGAAGGUCCUUGUUUGUAUUCUGAAGGCAAGAAGCAUUUCUUCGGAUAAUCCCUAUGGGCUGAUGUGUAAACUUUAAGGUAUAAGUUUCUUGGUACUCAACAGGUAUUCCAUGGUAUGACAAGAGAUUAAAUGUGGAUGGAAGUUACAAGUAAAAACCACUUGAUAUUCCAAUAAGAUAUUUGACAAGUUUUAGAAGCCAAAUUAAAGAAUUAAGUUAAUGAUGAUACAUGGUCCAAGUCUUACUAUGUUUAACAGUCUUCUAUUAAAAAUCAGCCCCGGUGUCAUCUUGUAGCUUUUGAUGCUUGUUAAUUUUCUACUAAUUGGUUUCAAAGUGAGUUGACCAAGGUUUUAUAUUCUGUUGGAUCUUUAUUUUCUAGAGGAUUGUGAAUAGUUAGUCUUAGAAUGAGUUUACAGGGUUUAAUGUUGUACUUUGGGUAUGUGAUUGAGAACUUUUAAGCCGGUUGCCACAGUAACUUGCAGAAGCAAGGUGUAUGUCUUUUUAAAUUUAAACUUAGAACUUUAUAUACCGUCUAGGUACUGAAGAAAGGUCAAAGUUUUCAUCUUUGGAUUUUUGAUGGAGUAGCUUUAUAUAAAUCUGGUAAAAUUUUGAAAUUAAGAAUUAUAAGAUUAAGCAUGCAAAAAUUUGUGCAGAGAAUGUAACAAUGCCUAGAGUUUGUGGCUAUUAAUCCUGUUGCUUCUUAUCUUUUUACUAGGAGGCUGAGUUGUUUUUGAGGUGUCAUGCACUAAAGUUUUUAUUUAUCCCAAUAAUUAUUCACAUGGAUUUGUUUUGAGGUUGUGGUCUUCUCUAGCAUUAAAUAGUCAUACCGUGUACCAGUUAAAUAACACAAAGUUAGUCAUACUGGGUCCGUUUUAGGUGUCAUGUAUGAAUUUUAUUAGUUAGCGUAAUUUUUUUCACUAGGUCUGUUCUGUAGUUGUAAUGUUCUCACUCAAGGAUAAGAACAAUCAUACCAUGUACCAUAUAUCAGACAAAGCUUAGUUAGUGCCUAAACAAUAUUUUUUUUACAAAGCAGCAAAUAAAAAUUAAAAGGCACUUCUGUAGUCAAUAUGAUUUUACAAGUGUUUGACUUUAGACAUCUGACUGUUCUUUAAAAAGGUUUGGUGCAUUGCUUGUACACACAUGACGAUAUUAGAACGUUGUUCUGCAAUUUUAGUCUUUACCUUAUAAUGUAUGUGAAUCUUCAUGAUAUGAUUGAGUGUUAUUUUAUUUUUAAUUCAAAAUAAUCUAAUCAUAUGAUGAUACAUAUCAAAUAUGUAUCUAUUUAUGUACUUAAAUUGGGUAUGCAUAGUUUUAUUAUUACAUUUUUGGGUGUUAAAAACUUCAUAAAAGAGAGUAGAAGCCAUGAUAUUGUUACAAUGAGAUGUUGGGAGGAAAACUUUGAUUGUGGUGGUUGUAUGUUGUAGUGGAGUGAGGUGUCAUAUAUGUAGUAGCAGCUGUUUUAAUGCUGUUAUUCUACAUGGUUAUUGGUUUAAUGGCCAGUUUUUUCCGUGCUUGUGUGGCAAAAAUCAUCUUUAGUUCUAAGACGGGAUUUGUGAGUGAGGUCCCUAAUUUUCAUGUACUUCCAUGUAAUUGAUAAAGUUGAAUAAGUGUGGAAUUAAUUGCAUGUAUUUGCAUCAA
This is an RNA transcript of Mangifera indica (mango), 5091 nucleotides long. It is a transcript of the gene named serine/threonine-protein kinase prpf4B-like, with no coding region annotated. The transcript is spliced from 14 exons. The record is from RefSeq and is a predicted model, not a curated record. Lineage: Eukaryota; Viridiplantae; Streptophyta; Magnoliopsida; Sapindales; Anacardiaceae.